Molecule: ribosomal RNA, 1265 nt
Filed under: Phaneropsolidae sp. isolate 1 FD-2019
Lineage: Eukaryota; Metazoa; Platyhelminthes; Trematoda; Plagiorchiida; Phaneropsolidae
Description: partial 28S ribosomal RNA
Rfam family: Eukaryotic large subunit ribosomal RNA
Source: RNAcentral
ACUAACCAGGAUUCCCUCAGUAACUGCGAGUGAACAGGGAUAAGCCCAGCACCGAAGUCUGUGGUCAGUUGAUCGCUAGGCAAUGUGGUGUUUAGGUCGUUCCGCGAGUGCGCUGCUCCAUCCUAAGUCCAUCACUGAGUACGGUAUAAUGGACAUGGCCCGUAGAGGGUGAAAGGCCCGUGGGGGUGGAGUUCAGGCAGGCCAGUGCGCUUCUGGGUGGACCUUGGAGUCGGGUUGUUUGAGAAUGCAGCCCAAAGUGGGUGGUAAACUCCAUCCAAGGCUAAAUACUAGCACGAGUCCGAUAGCGAACAAGUACCGUGAGGGAAAGUUGAAAAGUACUUUGAAGAGAGAGUAAACAGUGCGUGAAACCGGUCAGAGGUAAGCAGGUGGAGUUGAACUGCAAGCUCUGGGAAUUCAGCUGGUGGGUAUGGUUCAAGCUUGGUUGAAUCGGUUGGGCCCUGGAGUCUGUGUAGCAGCAGGCCUUCAACGGUGCGCGUUGCACUUAUCAAGUGUUUGUGCGCUCCGGGUGUUCUCCGGACCGACUUGCCAGUGCACUUUCUCAGAGUGGUCACCACGACCGACAUUGCUGUCUGCCCGUUGCGGUCAAACCGGUCCGGUAUUGUCCUUGUGGCUCUGCUUGGCCGGGAUGGUUGGUGGCUCGGUGGCUUGCUUCGGCUGGUCAUGGGAGCACUACUAGCUGGCCGUAUCGGUUCUGUGCAGUGUGUCGGAGCUGGCGGCUUUUGUGUGUGCGUUCGUGCCGGGUCGGCUGUCGUGUCCGGAUUUGGUUAUUUGGUCGCUUGCCGGUGCAAGCCUGGUGAUGGUUCGGACACGUGCGGUCGGCGGUUGCGUUCGUGGCACGUGAGAGGGCCCAUAGUCUGUGGUGUAGUGGUAGACUAUCCACCUGACCCGUCUUGAAACACGGACCAAGGAGAGUAACAUGUGCGCGAGUCAUUGGGCGUUACGAAACCCAAAGGCGCAGUGAAAGUGAAGGUCCGGCUUGCCCGGACUGAGGUGAGAUCCUGUCGUUUCUCAUGCGCGGUACCACCAAGCUUGGAGCGGCAGGCGCAUCACCGGCCCGUCCCAUGACAAUUGUUUCAUCGCACUACCCAGUCGGGGCGGAGCAUGAGCGUACAUGUUGAGACCCGAAAGAUGGUGAACUAUGCUUGCGCAGGUUGAAGCCAGAGGAAACUCUGGUGGAGGACCGAAGCGGUUCUGACGUGCAAAUCGAUCGCCAGACGUGAGUAUAGGGGCGAAAGACUAAUCGA